This 797-nucleotide long non-coding RNA is filed under the name Mytilus galloprovincialis (Mediterranean mussel). Lineage: Eukaryota; Metazoa; Mollusca; Bivalvia; Mytilida; Mytilidae. The record is from RNAcentral.
ACAAACUAGAGGCUCUAAAGAGCCUGUGUCGCUCACCUUGGUCUAUGUGAAUAUUAAACAAUGGACACAGAUGGAUUCAUGACAAAAUUGUGUUUUGGUGAUGGUGAUGUGUUUGUAGAUCUUACUUUACUUAACAUUCUUGCUGCUUACAAUUAUCUCUAUCUAUAACAGUACUUUCUGUGGAAAAUGUUAUUGAAAAUCUUCAAAUUUUAAGAAAAUUGUUAAAAAUUGAAUAUGAAGGGCAAUAACUCCUUAGGCGGUCAAUUGACUAUUUUGGUCAUACUGACUUAUUUUUAGUUCUUACUUUGCUGUACAUUAUUGCUGUUUACAGUUUAUCUCUAUCUAUAAUAAUAUUCAAGAUAAUAACAAAAAAACAGCAAAAUUUCCUCAAAAUUACCAAUUCAGGGGCAGCAACCUAUUACAACCGAUUAUCCGAUUCAUCUGAAAAUUCCAGGGCAGAUAGAUCGUGACCUGAUCAACAAUUUUACUUCCUGUCAGAUUUGCUCUUAAUGCUUUGGUUUUUGAGUUAUAAGCAAAAAACUGCAUUUAACCCCCAUGUUCUAUUUUUAGCCAUGGUGGCCAUCUUGGUUUGUUGGCCGAGUAACCGGACACAUUUUUUUAACUAGAUACCCCAAUGAUGAUUAUGGCUAAGUUUGGUUAAAUUUGGCCCAGUAGUUUCAGAAAAGAUUUUUCUAAAAGAUUACUAAGAUUUACGAAAAAUGGUUAAAAAUUGACUAUAAAGGGCAAUGUCUCCUAAAGUGGUCAACUGACCAUUUUGGUCAUGUUGACUUAUUUGU